GGUCUGAGAGGAUGAUCCGCCACACUGGGACUGAGACACGGCCCAGACUCCUACGGGAGGCAGCAGUGGGGAAUAUUGGACAAUGGGCGGAAGCCUGAUCCAGCCAUGCCGCGUGUGUGAAGAAGGCCUUUUGGUUGUAAAGCACUUUAAGCGAGGAGGAGGCUACUAAGAUUAAUACUCUUGGAUAGUGGACGUUACUCGCAGAAUAAGCACCGGCUAACUCUGUGCCACCAGCCGCGGUAAUACAGAGGGUGCAAGCGUUAAUCGGAUUUACUGGGCGUAAAGCGUGCCUAGGCGGCUUUUUAAGUCGGAUGUGAAAUCCCCGAGCUUAACUUGGGAAUUGCAUUCGAUACU
RNAcentral lists this ribosomal RNA (354 nucleotides) under bacterium LimB-100-A-365. RNAcentral's name for it is "bacterial SSU rRNA". It matches the Rfam family "Bacterial small subunit ribosomal RNA", at positions 289 to 634 of the family's 1533-position model. The record is from RNAcentral. RNAcentral also lists the same sequence under 1 other name.